GUUGGAUACUGCACAAUAUGGAAGAAACAAAAGAUACAAGAAAUACAGGAACAACUGGAAGAGGAGGUAGAGGAGAUAAAGGAACAACCUCAUGAUACAAGGAGACAGAAAGAACUUAAAGAAACUGCACAGCAGCUAACAAAAAUACUUAGUGAAAAAGAAAAGGAUUUGAAUAAAAUGAAGGAAAAAA
Molecule: long non-coding RNA, 190 nt
Organism: Amphimedon queenslandica
Lineage: Eukaryota; Metazoa; Porifera; Demospongiae; Haplosclerida; Niphatidae
Exons: 4
Source: RefSeq, a predicted model, not a curated record